CGCCCAAGGCAUCCGACAACAGUAGACUCAUCGUAACCUCGAAAACAUCUGAGCUUCUCCUGGAUUGCUGAGACAGAGAGCUAUUCUGCUCCAUCAGACAUCCCAAUCGAGCUUCAGCCGUCAGGUCCAAACUCUCUGGCAAGUCAUGACAAUGGCCACUACCUUACUCCACUCCGUAUAACAGAUUCCAUGCGGCCCCAC
This 201-nucleotide long non-coding RNA is filed under the name Elaeis guineensis (African oil palm). RNAcentral's name for it is "long non-coding RNA (EGUI_LNC066625)". Lineage: Eukaryota; Viridiplantae; Streptophyta; Magnoliopsida; Arecales; Arecaceae. The record is from RNAcentral.